AUUGAACGCUGGCGGCAUGCUUUACACAUGCAAGUCGAACGGUAACGGGCCUUCGGGUGCUGACGAGAGGCGAACGGGUGAGUAAUGCAUCGGAACGUGCCCAGAGGUGGGGGAUAACGCAGCGAAAGCUGUGCUAAUACCGCAUGUGAUCUGAGGAUGAAAGCGGGGGACCAAGCAGCAAUGUUUGGCCUCGCGCCUCUGGAGCGGCCGAUGUCAGAUUAGGUAGUUGGUGGGGUAAAGGCCUACCAAGCCGACGAUCUGUAGCUGGUCUGAGAGGACGACCAGCCACACUGGGACUGAGACACGGCCCAGACUCCUACGGGAGGCAGCAGUGGGGAAUUUUGGACAAUGGGCGCAAGCCUGAUCCAGCAAUGCCGCGUGCGGGAAGAAGGCCUUCGGGUUGUAAACCGCUUUUGUACGGAACGAAAAGGCUCUGGCUAAUACCUGGGGCUGAUGACGGUACCGUAAGAAUAAGCACCGGCUAACUACGUG
This 492-nucleotide ribosomal RNA is filed under the name uncultured bacterium. Its description in RNAcentral is "partial 16S ribosomal RNA". It matches the Rfam family "Bacterial small subunit ribosomal RNA", at positions 29 to 507 of the family's 1533-position model. The record is from RNAcentral.